CCGGAUAAGCCCUUACGGGGAAAGAUUUAUCGCCGAAAGAUCGGCCCGCGUCUGAUUAGCUAGUUGGUGAGGUAAUGGCUCACCAAGGCGACGAUCAGUAGCUGGUCUGAGAGGAUGAUCAGCCACAUUGGGACUGAGACACGGCCCAAACUCCUACGGGAGGCAGCAGUGGGGAAUAUUGGACAAUGGGCGCAAGCCUGAUCCAGCCAUGCCGCGUGAGUGAUGAAGGCCCUAGGGUUGUAAAGCUCUUUUGUGCGGGAAGAUAAUGACGGUACCGCAAGAAUAAGCCCCGGCUAACUUCGUGCCAGCAGCCGCGGUAAUACGAAGGGGGCUAGCGUUGCUCGGAAUCACUGGGCGUAAAGGGUGCGUAGGCGGGUCUUUAAGUCAGGGGUGAAAUCCUGGAGCUCAACUCCAGAACUGCCUUUGAUACUGAAGAUCUUGAGUUCGGGAGAGGUGAGUGGAACUGCGAGUGUAGAGGUGAAAUUCGUAGAUAUUCGCAAGAACACCAGUGGCGAAGGCGGCUCACUGGCCCGAUACUGACGCUGAGGCACGAAAGCGUGGGGAGCAAACAGGAU
This 575-nucleotide ribosomal RNA is filed under the name Bradyrhizobium sp. RNAcentral's name for it is "bacterial SSU rRNA". It matches the Rfam family "Bacterial small subunit ribosomal RNA", at positions 169 to 778 of the family's 1533-position model. Lineage: Bacteria; Pseudomonadati; Pseudomonadota; Alphaproteobacteria; Hyphomicrobiales; Nitrobacteraceae. The record is from RNAcentral.